This 482-nucleotide ribosomal RNA is filed under the name uncultured bacterium. RNAcentral's name for it is "partial 16S ribosomal RNA". It matches the Rfam family "Bacterial small subunit ribosomal RNA", at positions 28 to 507 of the family's 1533-position model. The record is from RNAcentral.
GACGAACGCUGGCGGCGUGCCUAACACAUGCAAGUCGAACGGAACUGUUUUGAAAGAUUUCUUCGGAAUGAAUUUGAUUUAGUUUAGUGGCGGACGGGUGAGUAAUGCGUGAGUAACCUGCCUUCAAGAGGGGAAUAACAUUCUGAAAAGAAUGCUAAUACCGCAUGACAUAUCGGAACCACAUGGUUUUGAUAUCAAAGAUUUUAUCGCUUGAAGAUGGACUCGCGUCCGAUUAGUUAGUUGGUGAGGUAACGGCUCACCAAGACCGCGAUCGGUAGCCGGACUGAGAGGUUGAACGGCCACAUUGGGACUGAGACACGGCACAGACUCCUACGGGAGGCAGCAGUGGGGGAUAUUGCGCAAUGGGGGCAACCCUGACGCAGCAACGCCGCGUGAAGGAUGAAGGUUUUCGGAUUGUAAACUUCUUUUAUUAAGGACGAAAAAUGACGGUACUUAAUGAAUAAGCGCCGGCUAACUACGUG